AUGCUGAUGUUUUUUUUUGAAGAAUUGGACAUGCCAAUCCAGCAACACUUUGACAAUGACAAAGAAAUGCAACCAGACCAAACCAUGUUAUCUGCUAAUGAUGAGCAAUUCGACAUAUGUGCAGGUGAUGAACAGAUUGACAUAUGUGCAGGUCUAUUGCCAGUAAAUGUAGGAGAAACUUACUCUAGGCGGAGAGGGACAAAAUUACCACUUAUUAGUGUGCAAGUCGUUGACACUGGAGUGGUCGAUGAGAUGUUACUUGAAAAGAUGGCAAGUCCUGCUGAAAGUGCUCAAGUCAGCGCAUCAUCUGCUCAUGAAACACCGAGAGAAGUUUGUGCAAGUGCUGUUAAGUUGGAGGCACACUUUACUGCAGCUGAAGUUGCUAUACCUGCUAAGUUGCAAAUUAGAAGAAGGGCAGUGGCAAAAUCUACUGAACAUGUUCCAGCAACAAAAGCACCUCAUGUUGCUCCAACAGUUGGUGCAGAUCAUGAGAUUUCAACCGAACAUGUUCCGGCAAUAGAAGCACCUCCUGUUGACAAAUCAGAUGAAGAGGAUACUGAUUAUGAACCAAUACCUGAUUGCAGUUCUGGAGAGGAUUCGGAGGCAGAGGAACUGAGAAAACUUGCAAGAGAGAUUAGGAGGAAUGAGAGAGCUAAGAAGCUAGGACAAAGAAGUGGAAUUAUAAUGCAAAACAAUAAAGUGCAAUGUAAAUCUGAUGAGGAUUUGGAUGCUGGUUUUGAAACUCCAUAUUUUGACUCUGAUGAGGAUGAUUUCUCUUAUGAUGAAGAAAGUGAUGGAGAAGGAGGUACCACUAUGGUAAGAAGGAAGAGCAAGUGGCCUAGGUUUGAUAGCAAAGCUGAAAAACCCAACUUUCAACUUGGCAUGGUUUUCCGAAGCAGAGAGCACAUGAAGAAAGCAGUGAUUUCCUAUGGAAUUAAAACUCACAGGCAUUUGUUGUUCAGCAAAGAUGAACAUGACAAAGUUAGAGCUUACUGUUCUUAG
This 1002-nucleotide ribosomal RNA is filed under the name Triticum aestivum (bread wheat). Its description in RNAcentral is "partial small subunit ribosomal RNA". Lineage: Eukaryota; Viridiplantae; Streptophyta; Magnoliopsida; Poales; Poaceae. The record is from RNAcentral.